RNAcentral lists this ribosomal RNA (302 nucleotides) under uncultured bacterium. RNAcentral's name for it is "partial 16S ribosomal RNA". It matches the Rfam family "Bacterial small subunit ribosomal RNA", at positions 508 to 807 of the family's 1533-position model. The record is from RNAcentral.
GCAGUAGCCACGGUAAUACGUAGGUGGCAAGCGUUGUCCGGAAUUAUUGGGCGUAAAGCGCACGUAGGCGGUUAUUCAAGUCAGAGGUGAAAGCCCGGGGCUCAACCCCGGAACUGCCUUUGAAACUAGAUGACUAGAAUCUUGGAGAGGUCAGUGGAAUUCCGAGUGUAGAGGUGAAAUUCGUAGAUAUUCGGAAGAACACCAGUGGCGAAGGCGACUGACUGGACAAGUAUUGACGCUGAGGUGCGAAAGCGUGGGGAGCAAACAGGAUUAGAUACCCCGGUAGUCCCUGUCUCUUAUAC